GGAUUUAUUUCACAAAGUGGCUGC
RNAcentral lists this non-coding RNA (24 nucleotides) under Arabidopsis thaliana (thale cress). The record is from RNAcentral. Lineage: Eukaryota; Viridiplantae; Streptophyta; Magnoliopsida; Brassicales; Brassicaceae.